Molecule: non-coding RNA, 29 nt
Filed under: Homo sapiens (human)
Lineage: Eukaryota; Metazoa; Chordata; Mammalia; Primates; Hominidae
Source: RNAcentral
UGCACAGGGAAGAUGCUGGCUUUGAUGUU